Molecule: long non-coding RNA, 1913 nt
Organism: Solanum dulcamara
Lineage: Eukaryota; Viridiplantae; Streptophyta; Magnoliopsida; Solanales; Solanaceae
Exons: 2
Source: RefSeq, a predicted model, not a curated record
UGCCAACAUACAUCUCCAGUACAUACCCUAUGCAUACAUACACGUCUUCUUCCUCACGCACGCUCAAGACCAACGCAACCUAUAACACCAACAGCUCUUUCCUACAAAAUCCCCCAAAAUCCGCCGGAUUUCAAGGUCAUUCAUCUCCUUCAAGUCAAUAUGGAGUAGGUAACCCCAUCCGUUUAUCAUCCUUUUUUUCCUACUUUUUUUAAUGUCUGAAAGACUUUUCAAACAAGAUCUUGGAGAAAGAUUUUCCUUUUCCCCUCUUAAACGGCUCCAAUUUGAAAUUCAAAUUUGCUAUUUUCUGCUAUAAAUCAGACACUUAUAUCCAUUGAAAAGGGGGGAGAAAAGGAGGGAGAGAGGGUUUCGGAGAGGUUUUGGAGAGCAUCGACGAAAAGGUUUUGGGAGCUCUUAGUUAAUAGUUUAAAUUUUUUUCUCUUUUCUUGGCUGUCGAGUUUAAAAGGGUGGGAUUAGCUCCGUCAAACUUGUCGUCACAGUUCGCUGCUCCGAAAAAGGUUGUUUGGAUGCUGGUGAUGACAUGCGUUACAUUGGAUCAUUGUUUUCUCACGGAUGUAGUUGACCCCGGUGCAUGCAUCGGUUCUUGGCUUUGAUUUGAGAAAGCUGGAUUGUAACCCAAACUAUUUUAUAUUGAUUUUGUUAAAUGGGGGUCGUACUACCUUCAUUACUACUAUUUUCAAUGGAUGGGAGGCAUCGAGGAUGCGCUCAUAUUUAUGGUAUUGAUUUGAGACAUUGAGGAUGCUCUCAUUUUAUUAUAUUGAUUCGAGGGCAUCGAUGAUGCACUCAUUUUUUGACACUGGCCCGAUUGUAGAGAUUUUUGACCAUUUUUUUAUUGAUUUGAUUAUUUAUCUCCGAUCAUCAUGACGGAACAGAUUUUAUGAUCGGAUACAGAUUGAUAUAAGACCUGGAUCGAUACCAGAUAGGUAUAUAGGGGCAUUUUCGAGCCCUCCAUGGCGAUUCCAUAGAGGUGCAUGACUCCUACUUCUUGGUCGGGAUUGGAAGUAGGUGUAUAUAUCUUGGUAUGAGGUACUUGGUACAAAUGGUAUUACUGGUUUUAUUGCACAACUUUCAUUCAUAGAUGCAUUUCCUAUCACCAGCAUAAUUGCUUGUACUUGUCGGUAGUAUUGGAUGUCGUGCAGGUUUUCCUGUUUGUGAGUGAACUUCCUGGGCACACAGGGGCUUGGGAGGUAUUGUCUUACUAUUUGCGAAGUUGUGGAGGUAUAAAGGGUGGUUUCUUUUUUGAAGGUAGUUAACACUCUUGUUUUUAUUUAUCUAACUUUUUUGCAGGGAUUUAGUUGAUAUGGUCCUUUGGGCCUUUAUGUGAUAUUUGUGGUUACUUCUAUUAGUAGGGUGUUGCUUAGUUGUUCCCCCUUUUGUAGUGUGUCAUCGUGUUUAAGUCUUGGCCUAGCGCUACCAGGUACGUCCUUGCUUGUUUUCUAUUUUCUCUCUCUUUCUUAUAUAUGAUGUUUCUUAUUGUAAAUUUCCAUAUUUUUCCUCUUAGUUACUUGUGAUAUACACUCCUUUCUUACAUGUUCUUUAUACUUUAUUUUUGGAGCUCAGUCGGCCGAUGUCUACUGAGUGCCUUUUAUUGGUACUCAUACUACAGUUCUGCACCUUGCAUAUCAUAGUAUGGGUUUUCACUAGUGAUUUGGAUAUCGUAUGGAGCAGCUCUUGAAUUUUGGAGACUUGGGUGAGAUUUUAGUGUUCGGAGUUGUCUAUUUCCUUCUAUUUUGCGAUUGGACUAUCUUUAAUUGGUAUUUGGAGACAGUCUAUAUUAUUAUUACUAUUAUCGUAUAUGUAUAAACCUUGUACUUCUUUAUUUGGUCUAGUGGCUUGACUACCGACUGAUACCAGGUCUUGAGGGUUAUCUUGUUAUAUUGUUCUCAUUCUUCUUU